Long non-coding RNA from Vigna unguiculata (cowpea), 469 nucleotides. RefSeq lists it as uncharacterized. The record is from RefSeq and is a predicted model, not a curated record. NCBI's taxonomy places the organism in Eukaryota, Viridiplantae, Streptophyta, Magnoliopsida, Fabales, Fabaceae.
CGAACCCAACAAUAUGAACCAUUUGAUUAUUACUUCAAAAGUGGUCACACACACAGAGAUAUCUGAUAUAAAUAUAUUAUUGUCUUUAGUUUCAUCAUCAGAUCCAAGCAAUAAUCCAUUUACAUCGUUGUGCAGGUAAAGCAUUUGAUCAAUUCACAGUUUUUUGAGUUUUGGGUUCUCUCCAAUCAUGGAACCCAGAUGGAACCAAAGCUCAGAAAUGAUCAAAAUUGAUCUGCGGGAGAAGAUUAUGGGUACACAAAACAAAAUGAACGAAUCUCUCCAAAACCCAAUCUCACGUGAAAAAAAAAUUGAAGGGGGAAAAGAAAACAAGAAAUGGCGAUUUUUUUCAUCUUCUCUGUGUUGUCUGAAAGGAGCUCAAAAACCCUAGUAACUAAUCAAUUUCUAAAUGCACAUUUGCCUCUACUGUAUCAAAACAGAAAUAAAUUUAUGAUUUCGAUUCUAAACUAAA